Molecule: non-coding RNA, 23 nt
Filed under: Arabidopsis thaliana (thale cress)
Lineage: Eukaryota; Viridiplantae; Streptophyta; Magnoliopsida; Brassicales; Brassicaceae
Source: RNAcentral
UCGCCUUGUCUAAUUCCCCUUGU